GAUGAACGCUGGCGGCGUGCCUAAUACAUGCAAGUCGAGCGAACGGACGAGAAGCUUGCUUCUCUGAUGUUAGCGGCGGACGGGUGAGUAACACGUGGAUAACCUACCUAUAAGACUGGGAUAACUUCGGGAAACCGGAGCUAAUACCGGAUAAUAUUUUGAACCGCAUGGUUCAAAAGUGAAAGACGGUCUUGCUGUCACUUAUAGAUGGAUCCGCGCUGCAUUAGCUAGUUGGUAAGGUAACGGCUUACCAAGGCAACGAUGCAUAGCCGACCUGAGAGGGUGAUCGGCCACACUGGAACUGAGACACGGUCCAGACUCCUACGGGAGGCAGCAGUAGGGAAUCUUCCGCAAUGGGCGAAAGCCUGACGCAGCAACGCCACGUGAGUGAUGAAGAUCUUCGGAUCGUAAAACUCUGUUAUUAGGGAAAAACAUAUGUGUAAGUAACUGUGCACAUCUUGACGGUACCUAGUCAGAAAGCCACGGCUAACUACGUG
Molecule: ribosomal RNA, 497 nt
Filed under: uncultured bacterium
Lineage: Bacteria
Description: partial 16S ribosomal RNA
Rfam family: Bacterial small subunit ribosomal RNA
Source: RNAcentral